This 456-nucleotide ribosomal RNA is filed under the name uncultured Russula. Its description in RNAcentral is "eukaryotic LSU rRNA". The stretch from base 118 to 271 matches the Rfam family "5.8S ribosomal RNA". Lineage: Eukaryota; Fungi; Basidiomycota; Agaricomycetes; Russulales; Russulaceae. The record is from RNAcentral.
UCUCACCCCUUGUGCAUCACCGCGUGGGUCCCCCUUUGCCGGAGGGCCCGCGUCUUUACACAAAACUCGAUACAGUGUAGAACGUUUAUUUUCGCGCUCGCACGCGAUCAAUAAUACAACUUUCAACAACGGAUCUCUUGGCUCUCGCAUCGAUGAAGAACGCAGCGAAAUGCGAUACGUAAUGUGAAUUGCAGAAUUCAGUGAAUCAUCGAAUCUUUGAACGCACCUUGCGCCCCUUGGCAUUCCGAGGGGCACACCCGUUUGAGUGUCGUGAAAUCUUCAAAAACCCUCUCUUUCGAGGGGGAUUUUUGGACUUGGAGGUUCGAUGCUCGCUUUCGCCUUUUAGAAAGCGAGCUCCUCUCAAAUGAAUCAGUGGGGNCUGCUUUGNCGGNCCUUGACGUGAUAAGAUCUUUCUACGUUUCGGACUCGACAUCGUCCCGCUCCCAAUCGUCCCCA